UACGGAGGAUGCGAGCGUUAUCCGGAUUUAUUGGGUUUAAAGGGUGCGUAGGCGGCCUGCCAAGUCAGCGGUAAAAUUGCGGGGCUCAACCCCGUACAGCCGUUGAAACUGCCGGGCUCGAGUGGGCGAGAAGUAUGCGGAAUGCGUGGUGUAGCGGUGAAAUGUAUAGAUAUCACGCAGAACCCCGAUUGCGAAGGCAGCAUACCGGCGCCCUACUGACGCUGAGGCACGAAAGUGCGGGGAUCAAACAGG
This 252-nucleotide ribosomal RNA is filed under the name uncultured bacterium. Its description in RNAcentral is "partial 16S ribosomal RNA". It matches the Rfam family "Bacterial small subunit ribosomal RNA", at positions 524 to 776 of the family's 1533-position model. The record is from RNAcentral.